GUACGAGAGGACCGGGGUGAACGAUCCACUGGUGGACCUGUUGUUGCGCCAGCAGCAGUGCAGGGUAGCUAUGAUCGGACAGGAUAACCGCUGAAGGCAUCUAAGCGGGAAGCCCCCCUCAAAACAAGGUAUCCCUGAGGACCGUGGAAGACCACCACGUCGAUAGGCCGGAGAUGUAAGCACAGCAAUGUGUUCAGUUGACCGGUACUAAU
Molecule: ribosomal RNA, 212 nt
Filed under: Triparma pacifica
Lineage: Eukaryota; Bolidophyceae; Parmales; Triparmaceae
Description: partial Bacterial large subunit ribosomal RNA
Rfam family: Bacterial large subunit ribosomal RNA
Source: RNAcentral